GAUGAACGCUGGCGGCGUGCCUAAUACAUGCAAGUCGAGCGAACAGAUGAGGAGCUUGCUCCUCUGACGUUAGCGGCGGACGGGUGAGUAACACGUGGAUAACCUACCUAUAAGACUGGGAUAACUUCGGGAAACCGGAGCUAAUACCGGAUAAUAUAUUGAACCGCAUGGUUCAAUAGUGAAAGACGGUUUUGCUGUCACUUAUAGAUGGAUCCGCGCCGCAUUAGCUAGUUGGUAAGGUAACGGCUUACCAAGGCAACGAUGCGUAGCCGACCUGAGAGGGUGAUCGGCCACACUGGAACUGAGGCACGGUCCAGACUCCUACGGAAGGCAGCAGUAGGGAAUCUUCCGCAAUGGGCGAAAGCCUGACGGAGCAACGCCGCGUGAGUGAUGAAGGUCUUCGGAUCGUAAAACUCUGUUAUUAGGGAAGAACAAAUGUGUAAGUAACUAUGCACGUCUUGACGGUACCUAAUCAGAAAGCCACGGCUAACUACGUG
This 497-nucleotide ribosomal RNA is filed under the name uncultured bacterium. RNAcentral's name for it is "partial 16S ribosomal RNA". It matches the Rfam family "Bacterial small subunit ribosomal RNA", at positions 28 to 507 of the family's 1533-position model. The record is from RNAcentral.